GCGCCCGUGGCCUAAUGGAUAAGGCGUUUGACUUCUAAUUGUGGGUUCGAGUUCCACCGGGCGUG
RNAcentral lists this transfer RNA (65 nucleotides) under Arabidopsis lyrata subsp. lyrata. It matches the Rfam family "tRNA". From Rfam's summary of the family: Transfer RNA (tRNA) molecules are approximately 80 nucleotides in length. Their secondary structure includes four short double-helical elements and three loops (D, anti-codon, and T loops). The record is from Rfam by way of RNAcentral. Lineage: Eukaryota; Viridiplantae; Streptophyta; Magnoliopsida; Brassicales; Brassicaceae.